ACGUGAGUAACCUUCCCUUGACUCUGGGAUAAGCCCGGGAAACUGGGUCUAAUACUGGAUAUGACCUUCCAUCGCAUGGUGGAGGGUGGAAAGAUUUAUCGGUCUUGGAUGGACUCGCGGCCUAUCAGCUUGUUGGUGAGGUAAUGGCUCACCAAGGCGACGACGGGUAGCCGGCCUGAGAGGGUGACCGGCCACACUGGGACUGAGACACGGCCCAGACUCCUACGGGAGGCAGCAGUGGGGAAUAUUGCACAAUGGGCGCAAGCCUGAUGCAGCGACGCCGCGUGAGGGAUGACGGCCUUCGGGUUGUAAACCUCUUUCAGUAGGGAAGAAGCCUUUUAGGUGACGGUACCUGCAGAAGAAAGCGCCGGCUAACUACGUGCCAGCAGCCGCGGUAAUACGUAGGGCGCGAGCGUUAUCCGGAAAUUAUUGGGGCGUAAAAGAGCUCGUAGGCGGGUUUGUCGCGUCUGCUGUGAAAAGCCCCGGGGGCUUAACUUCCGGGGUGUGCAGUGGGGUACGGGGCAGACUAGAGUGCAGUAGGGGGAUACUGGAAUUUCCUGGGUGUAGCGGUGAAAUGCCGCAGAUAAUCAGGAGGAACACCCGAUGGGCGAAAGGCAGGUCUCUGGGCUGUUACUGACGCUGAAGGAGCGAAAGCAUGGGGGAGCGAACAGGAUUAGAUACCCUGGUAGUCCAUGCCGUAAACGUUGGGCACUAAGUGUGGGGAACAUUCCACGUUUUCCGCGCCGUAGCUAACGCAUUAAGUGCCCCGCCUGGGGAGUACGCCGCAAGCUAAACUCAAGAAUUGACGGGCCGCACAGCGCCGAGCAUGCGA
Molecule: ribosomal RNA, 832 nt
Filed under: Citricoccus alkalitolerans
Lineage: Bacteria; Bacillati; Actinomycetota; Actinomycetes; Micrococcales; Micrococcaceae
Description: bacterial SSU rRNA
Rfam family: Bacterial small subunit ribosomal RNA
Source: RNAcentral